UAGAAGUUAAANCUUUUCUUACCUGCC
This 27-nucleotide transfer RNA is filed under the name Heliangelus zusii. Its description in RNAcentral is "partial tRNA-His". Lineage: Eukaryota; Metazoa; Chordata; Aves; Apodiformes; Trochilidae. The record is from RNAcentral.